Molecule: long non-coding RNA, 310 nt
Organism: Polistes canadensis
Lineage: Eukaryota; Metazoa; Arthropoda; Insecta; Hymenoptera; Vespidae
Exons: 2
Source: RefSeq, a predicted model, not a curated record
CGCGAAGCGCACCGCGCGCGCGCUAACCAGUCGUUUGUUGAUCCAACGAGUGUUCAGGUCGACGUGCGACCAUUCGUAGAGUAAUAGUACCGUUCGACAAUUAAAAAAGAAAAAAGAAUAAUUAUAAAUUUCUCGAUGCAUCAUCGAUCGAAAACUUGAAUUUGGAAUCACCAUCCUUGCGAGGGAGGGGGAGGAAGGAAGGAAGGAAGGAAGAUAAAAAAAGGCAGAGGAAGAAUGAUGAAGAUGCAAAAAGUAGACAAACACACGUUGUUUUGAUUAUAUAUAAAGAUUAAUAAUUAAAAGAAAAAAA